UACCGGGUAGUCCCGGCUGUAAACGAUGCGGGCUAGGUGUUGGGUGGGCUUUGAGCCCACCCAGUGCCGCAGGGAAGCCGUUAAGCCCGCCGCCUGGGGAGUACGGCCGCAAGGCUGAAACUUAAAGGAAUUGGCGGGGGAGCACCACAAGGGGUGGAGCCUGCGGUUUAAUUGGAGUCAACGCCGGGAAUCUUACCGAGGGCGACAGCAGGAUGAAGGCCAGGCUAACGACCUUGCCAGACACGCUGAGAGGAGGUGCAUGGCCGUCGCCAGCUCGUGCCGUGAGGCGUCCGGUUAAGUCCGGCAACGAGCGAGAUCCCCACCCCCAGUUGCGAUCCCGAUCCCUGGAUCGGGAGCACACUGGGGGGACUGCCGCCGAUAAGGCGGAGGAAGGAGGGGGCCACGGCAGGUCAGCAUGCCCCGAAUCCCUCGGGCUACACGCGGGCUACAAUGGUGGGGACAGCGGGUGCCGACCCCGAAAGGGGAAGGCAAUCCCUGAAACCCCGCCGUGGUUGGGAUCGAGGGCUGUAACUCGCCCUCGUGAACGUGGAAUCCCUAGUAACCGCGCGUCAACAUUGCGCGGUGAAUACGUCCUGCUCUUGCACUCACCGCCGUAAGGCGA
This 622-nucleotide ribosomal RNA is filed under the name uncultured Thermoprotei archaeon. RNAcentral describes it as "bacterial SSU rRNA". It matches the Rfam family "Archaeal small subunit ribosomal RNA", at positions 735 to 1360 of the family's 1478-position model. Lineage: Archaea; Thermoproteati; Thermoproteota; Thermoprotei. The record is from RNAcentral.